AUUUUCCAAGCUGGCAAGUCAAGAUAUAUACACGUAUGUGUGUGCCAAGUCCAUAAAAAAAAAAAAAAAAAAAAAAAUCCAACUUGUGGACCUAACAUCACUACAAAGUGUAUUCAAUCCUUCAUUCUAAGCUGGCAAAAUACCACGAUCCAUGUUGGCAAACGGUCAUAAGCCGUAUUAUUUCUUUGAAAUAUCUCAUGCUGGAAAU
This 208-nucleotide long non-coding RNA is filed under the name Salvia miltiorrhiza (redroot sage). RNAcentral's name for it is "long non-coding RNA (SMIL_LNC013370)". The record is from RNAcentral. Lineage: Eukaryota; Viridiplantae; Streptophyta; Magnoliopsida; Lamiales; Lamiaceae.